Molecule: ribosomal RNA, 460 nt
Filed under: uncultured microorganism
Description: bacterial SSU rRNA
Rfam family: Bacterial small subunit ribosomal RNA
Source: RNAcentral
GAGUUUGAUCUUGGCUCAGAUUGAACGCUGGCGGCAUGCCUUACACAUGCAAGUCGAACGGCAGCAUGAUCUAGCUUGCUAGAUUGAUGGCGAGUGGCGAACGGGUGAGUAAUACAUCGGAACGUGCCCUGUAGUGGGGAUAACUAGUCGAAAGAUUAGCUAAUACCGCAUACGACCUGAGGGUGAAAGUGGGGGACCGCAAGGCCUCAUGCUAUAGGAGCGGCCGAUGUCUGAUUAGCUAGUUGGUGGGUAAAGGCCCACCAAGGCGACGAUCAGUAGCUGGUCUGAGAGGACGAUCAGCCACACUGGGACUGAGACACGGCCCAGACUCCUACGGGGGGCAGCAGUGGGGAAUUUUGGACAAUGGGCGAAAGCCUGAUCCAGCAAUGCCGCGUGUGUGAAGAAGGCCUUCGGUUGUAAGUACGACUUUGUUCCGUAAGAAACGUAGGACGUCUGGUUA